RNAcentral lists this ribosomal RNA (427 nucleotides) under uncultured bacterium. Its description in RNAcentral is "bacterial SSU rRNA". It matches the Rfam family "Bacterial small subunit ribosomal RNA", at positions 34 to 507 of the family's 1533-position model. The record is from RNAcentral.
CGCUGGCGGCAUGCCUAACACAUGCAAGUCGAACGAGACCUUCGGGUCUAGUGGCGCACGGGUGCGUAACGCGUGGGAACCUGCCUUUAGGUUCGGAAUAACUCAGAGAAAUUUGAGCUAAUACCGGAUAAUGUCUUCGGACCAAAGAUUUAUCGCCUUUAGAUGGGCCCGCGUUGGAUUAGCUAGUUGGUGGGGUAAAGGCCUACCAAGGCGACGAUCCAUAGCUGGUCUGAGAGGAUGAUCAGCCACACUGGGACUGAGACACGGCCCAAACUCCUACGGGAGGCAGCAGUGGGGAAUAUUGGACAAUGGGCGAAAGCCUGAUCCAGCAAUGCCGCGUGAGUGAUGAAGGCCUUAGGGUUGUAAAGCUCUUUUACCCGAGAUGAUAAUGACAGUAUCGGGAGAAUAAGCUCCGGCUAACUCCGUG